AACGAACGCUGGCGGCAUGCCUAACACAUGCAAGUCGAACGAAGCCUUCGGGCUUAGUGGCGCACGGGUGCGUAACGCGUGGGAAUCUGCCCUUGGGUUCGGAAUAACAGUUAGAAAUGACUGCUAAUACCGAAUGAUGUCUUCGGAUCAAAGAUUUAUCGCCCAAGGAUGAGCCCGCGUCGGAUUAGCUGGUUGGUGAGGUAAAGGCUCACCAAGGCGACGAUCCGUAGCUGGUCUGAGAGGAUGAUCAGCCACACUGGGACUGAGACACGGCCCAGACUCCUACGGGAGGCAGCAGUGGGGGAAUAUUGGACAAUAGGGCGGGAAAAGACCUCGAUCCACGCAAUAGCCGCGUGAGUGAUGAAGGGACCGUUACGGGUUU
RNAcentral lists this ribosomal RNA (382 nucleotides) under uncultured bacterium. Its description in RNAcentral is "bacterial SSU rRNA". It matches the Rfam family "Bacterial small subunit ribosomal RNA", at positions 29 to 425 of the family's 1533-position model. The record is from RNAcentral.